This 3717-nucleotide unclassified non-coding RNA is filed under the name Camponotus floridanus (Florida carpenter ant). RNAcentral's name for it is "tropomodulin, transcript variant X8". The record is from RNAcentral. Lineage: Eukaryota; Metazoa; Arthropoda; Insecta; Hymenoptera; Formicidae.
CGCGGUGCUUUAGUACCGUCAGCCUCGUCGUUUCGCGCGGAACUUGGACGCUUGGAAUAGGUUCGUCACGCGCUGUAAAAGUUUUUCGCCGCACGCUGAAAUCGGAACGCGGUUGGUGACCGUGUAAUAGACAGACCGUGGUGUUUGUCGCUGCCUCCCGUAGCUGUUCGCAAGACCUUUCGGAAGUACGUUUCACAAUUCUUGAUGGAAGUGGAUACGGAGAACGUCAGGAUGGAUAAAACGGACAUCAACAGCAACGAUAACGAUGAGGCGCCCACCGUCGAAGAGAGUUACGAGAUCACCACUACCAGGCGCAAAACUAUUCGCACCAGCUAUAAGAUUCAGGAGACUUCCUCGUCAACCAAAACAACCACCAUGACGACAGCAGCCAAGCUAUAUGGCAAGGAUCUAAGCGAGUAUGAUGACAUUGAUGUGGAUCAAUUGUUGGCUGAGCUCACACCGGAGGAACUAAAUAUGCUGGCCAAGGAAGUGGACCCUGAUGAUAGCUUUAUGCCACCUUCGCAGCGUUGCAGUUAUGAAUGUAACAAGAGUCCUACAGGGCCGCUGAAUCGAAAGAAACUCAUUGAACAUAUCAACAAGCAAGCUUUAGAAACACCUGAUAUUCCAGAGUUGAAACCAUAUGUACCUGGUGUAGUUAGAGGAAAAAAAUGGAUACCUCCACCACAAGAAACCAUAAAAGAAAAGGAAGCAGAUGAACAGAUUGCGAUAGAUCUUGGGGAGGAAUACGAACAAGCGCUUUCAGCCGCUACCCAAGAAGAAAUCAUUGAUCUUGCUGCUAUUCUUGGUUUCCAUUCCAUGAUGAAUCAAGAUCAGUAUCACGCAUCUCUAUUGAAUUCUGGACAACCGGUCGGACUCGGCUGGGAUGGAGUAACGAAAGCUAGUCAACCGAAAGUUUAUCCUAUGGAACCGCCCAAUGAUACGGACGUCGACGCCACUAUUAAACAAGUGCGGGACGAUGACUCCACUCUGACUGACUUAAACUGGAACAAUAUUAAAAAUAUUUCGGACGAAAAAUUCGUACAAUUGUUUGAAGGAUUAGAAAUGAACACACAUCUUGAAUCACUAAGUUUAACUAAUGUUGGACUCAACGAUAAAACUGCACAACGGCUGGCCGAUGCUUUAGAGAAGAAUUCGACACUCAAAGUACUCAACGUGGAGACAAAUUUCAUAAGCCCACCUGUGAUAGUAAGGCUGAUCAGAUCUCUUCUUAAGACAAAAUCCAUUGAAGAAUUUCGAUGUUCCAAUCAGAGAUCGCAAGUACUAGGUAACAAGAUCGAAAUGGAAAUCACACAAUUGGUAGAACAAAAUCCAACGUUGCUGCGACUUGGAUUACAUCUGGAGUUCAAUGAUGCUAGACAUCGCGUGGCUGCACAUUUGCAACGCAACAUUGAUAGGAUCCGUCGUGUGGAGGCUCAAGCUAAGUUUCUAGCGAUUUCUACUGGCCCUUCAACUUUCAAGGUUGUUCCCGCAGAUGACUUAAAAAAUAGAGCGUAGCGCUAUUGCAGCGCAUACGGCAGUCCCGGCUCGGGGUGGCAACAUCUUAACGCGAAGUGGCGUUCGCCUAGAUCGCCUGCGCCGCAUGGGAAGAGCUUCCCGCAAUUAUACCAUCGGCUGGGCCAUACAUUGAUGAUGAUCGCCACGAUGAUGGCAACGACGAUGACGAAGACGAUAAUACGCCGAUGAUCGCGCGUGAGUUUCUCGCUGCGUCUCGAAGCACCGUAAAAUGGUCUGUACACGUACAUAUAUGGUAUCAUACCACCCGCAGUGGAUCUUUAGAUUCCUUCGGGAAUCUUCGUAUGCUUUGAAUCCUUUGGAUCUUGAAAUUAACGCGAACGUUAUUCGAAACGAGAUGCUCGAUUACGGAGGAGAAAUCAGAAGCUUCGCAUAAUGCGAUAAAUUAAUUUAUGCGCGUGAAUGUCUUUCGUCUUUGUUGCUCUAAAAAAAAAAAUACAUAUAAAUUUAUAUAAAUAUGUAGACCUGCACUAAAACUAUGUCGCGCGAAAGAUACUCUAAUGACGAUGUAAAACAAAUUUAAAUCGUUAUAUGGAUGUGACAUGUGACACACAUACACACGGUAUUGUUGAUUUAUAUAAUAUAUAAUAAGACGAAUAUAUAUUGUCUUGUAACUGUUAAGUCAUUGAAGAUGACUCGCGGUGGAAAAUGAUGCGAAGGGAGCCGGGAUAACUUUUUUAUCGUAAUGCGCACCAAGAUUUCCGUUCAUCGCUUUAACGUGGCUAUCUAACUGGAUUAUUUAAAUAUUUAUACACGAAAGAAAAGUUCUCUUUUAAUUAAUUCGACCAAACUUUUGCUCGAGUGCAUCGCUGAACGAUCGGGUACAAACUAUAUUCUGUGUUCAUCUUUUUUUUUUUUUUUUUUUUUUUUUUAAGAGAAUCUUAUUAUUUCACGUUCUAUCUCGUUGUUACUAGCUACUGCCUGGUCAUUGUAAAACGAUUCAUCGUCUUUUAUGCUUUAGAAAGCAAAUAAUUAUUCAAUUAAUAGUUCAAUUAAUAGUUUUAAUACGUCACUAUGUAAUUGAAAUGUAUCUAUGUAUCGAAAAAUUUAUAAAUAUAAGAAAUUAGGAUUUUUUUUCUCCAAAAAUUAAUCGAAUCGAUAUAAUUUUUAAUGUAGAAUGAUUAUUUCUCUAAUUGUUUUCACAUUGCAUUAUUUAAGUACCAAUUGUUGUAUUUUAAUCAACUUUGUGCACAAUGUGUAAACAUCAUGACAAUGCAUUGAAAUAGAUUAAUUAGCUGCGAACACACGCGCAAAUUUUUCAUUAAAAAUAAAUAUCGAACGCGAUACCACCGACCCGAUCGUUCCGCUCGGUAUAAUAAUGUCACUGUAAUAUUCGCUAUAAGGUACUAACUCGUUGUUUAAAUUAAUGAUUAAUUUAGUUAUACAUAUAUAUGUAAUCAAUCUGUACAUAUUGUCUUCAAUGUCGUUUCUAAUCGAUCGAUGUAACCUACGUGUUAUAACGAAAGAGGGAAUGGAUUAUUAUCGCGUAAGAGAGAGGGUGGCAUAGUUGUCUCUGUGUAUGCAUGUCCGUGUGGAUGAGAGGGAGAAAAAGGAAUCGGGAGUGCGUGAGUGACGAUAAUUAUACGGUUUUACCAAGAUAGAUCACGCGCCGAUUGGCAUAUCGCUGUAUACUUGAGCUUGUUAAAUGCAUGGAAGUACGCGGAUCAAAAAUACUUUUGCACUGUACUUGUUCGUUUAUGAGUAGAAUUGUAGAAAAUGUAUCGUACAGAUGUAAAAUAUAUUAAUUUGACGUAUUAAAUUCUUAUGUAAUCUACAAAUCUCUCUCGAGUAUUUUUGCAUUUUUUGGACGUUACGAAUUUUUACGGAUCUAUCGGUUCUCUUCGGAUUCUUUUUAAAGCCGCGCCUAAAAAGAUUUUUAAACAUUUUUCAAUAAAUGACGUGCAAAGUUCUCUUUUGAAAAGCGUAGGUGGACUCGUGUAGUUGACAAGGGUAAGAGAAAUCGAUAACGAAAUAGUAUUGUAAUCAUAUUUGUCUCGCUCGCCUUCCGAAUGCAUUCUUGAUUGUUGUAAACACAUUCGCGUAUCUAUUUACUCUGUCACACGGAACACUCAUUACAUUACGUACACAACAUACCGAAACUCAAAUGCACGCGCACGAUCAAAGCCUUGUUGCUAAGCCUUAUCUUGUAACACGAGGUUUAAAUAAACUGCUGAGAAAAAGACA